GGCGUUGGCGGGGCCGGGCCGGGGCUCUGCGGCGCGCUGGGGGGCGCGCUCACCAGGCGCGCGGUCACACUGCGGGUGCUGCUCAAAGACGCCUUGCUGGAGCCUGGCGCCGGGGUGCUGUCCAUCUACUACCUGGUGAGCGUCCGCUGACCCUCAUCCCAGCUCCGACAAGAAGGGAACCCAAGGCCCAGAGCGCCCUGCCGCAGGACGAGACCCCGAUGUGGGGAGGGGAACUGAGCCACGGAGCAGCCUGACCCCGGAUGGAGCCCCUUCUGGGCUGGAGGACCUGGUUCAUCUAAAGCCCCACUCUGCCGUUGAGAGUCUGAGGCUAAGAUGGGCCCUCCUGGCUGUGUGACUCCGCAGCCUCUCUG
This 371-nucleotide long non-coding RNA is filed under the name Marmota monax (woodchuck). Lineage: Eukaryota; Metazoa; Chordata; Mammalia; Rodentia; Sciuridae. The record is from RNAcentral.